UCGUUGGUAGUUCAGUGGUAGAAUUCUCCCCUUCCAUGCGGGCAAUCCAAGUUCGAUUCCUGGCCAAUGCG
Molecule: transfer RNA, 71 nt
Filed under: Loxodonta africana (African savanna elephant)
Lineage: Eukaryota; Metazoa; Chordata; Mammalia; Proboscidea; Elephantidae
Rfam family: tRNA
About the family: Transfer RNA (tRNA) molecules are approximately 80 nucleotides in length. Their secondary structure includes four short double-helical elements and three loops (D, anti-codon, and T loops). Further hydrogen bonds mediate the characteristic L-shaped molecular structure. tRNAs have two regions of fundamental functional importance: the anti-codon, which is responsible for specific mRNA codon recognition, and the 3' end, to which the tRNAs corresponding amino acid is attached (by aminoacyl-tRNA synthetases). tRNAs cope with the degeneracy of the genetic code in two manners: having more than one tRNA (with a specific anti-codon) for a particular amino acid; and 'wobble' base-pairing, i.e. permitting non-standard base-pairing at the 3rd anti-codon position.
Source: Rfam by way of RNAcentral